This 366-nucleotide ribosomal RNA is filed under the name uncultured Geobacteraceae bacterium. Its description in RNAcentral is "bacterial SSU rRNA". It matches the Rfam family "Bacterial small subunit ribosomal RNA", at positions 466 to 831 of the family's 1533-position model. The record is from RNAcentral. Lineage: Bacteria; Pseudomonadati; Thermodesulfobacteriota; Desulfuromonadia; Geobacterales; Geobacteraceae.
GGUUUGACGGUACCUAUAAAGGAAGCACCGGCUAACUCCGUGCCAGCAGCCGCGGUAAUACGGGGGGUGCAAGCGUUGUUCGGAAUUAUUGGGCGUAAAGCGCGUGUAGGCGGUCUGAUUAGUCUGAUGUGAAAGCCCUGGGCUCAACCCAGGAAGUGCAUUGGAUACUGUCAGACUUGAAUACGGGAGGGGGUAGUGGAAUUCCUAGUGUAGGAGUGAAAUCCGUAGAUAUUAGGAGGAACACCGGUGGCGAAGGCGGCUACCUGGACCGAUAUUGACGCUGAGACGCGAAAGCGUGGGUAGCAAACAGGAUUAGAUACCCUGGUAGUCCACGCCGUAAACGAUGAGAACUAGGUGUCGCGGGUA